CAGUCGCCGCGGUAAUACGAAGGGGGCUAGCGUUGCUCGGAAUGACUGGGCGUAAAGGGCGCGUAGGCGGUUUGUACAGUUGGAUGUGAAAUUCCUGGGCUUAACCUGGGGGCUGCAUUCAAUACGUGCAGGCUUGAGUGUGGAAGAGGGUUGUGGAAUUCCCAGUGUAGAGGUGAAAUUCGUAGAUAUUGGGAAGAACACCGGUGGCGAAGGCGGCAACCUGGUCCAUUACUGACGCUGAGGCGCGAAAGCGUGGGGAGCAAACAGGAUUAGAUACCCCGGUAGUCCCUGUCUCUUAUAC
RNAcentral lists this ribosomal RNA (301 nucleotides) under uncultured bacterium. RNAcentral describes it as "partial 16S ribosomal RNA". It matches the Rfam family "Bacterial small subunit ribosomal RNA", at positions 509 to 807 of the family's 1533-position model. The record is from RNAcentral.